AUGAACGCUGGCGGCGCGCCUAACACAUGCAAGUCGAACGAUUAAAGCACCUUCGGGUGUGUAUAAAGUGGCGAACGGCUGAGUAACACGUGGGCAACCUGUCCCUCUCAUUGGGAUAGCCACGGGAAACCGUGGAUAAUACCGAAUACUUCGGGACUUCCGCAUGGAAGACUCGAGAAAGCUCCGGCGGAGAGGGAUGGGCCCGCGGCCUGUUAGCUUGUUGGUGGGGUAAUGGCCUACCAAGGCAAUGAUGGGUAGCUGGGUUGAGAGACCGACCAGCCAGAUUGGGACUGAGACACGGCCCAGACUCCUACGGGAGGCAGCAGUGGGGAAUCUUGCACAAUGGGCGAAAGCCUGAUGCAGCGACGCCGCGUGCGGGAUGAAGGCCUUCGGGUUGUAAACCGCUUUCAGCAGGGACGAGGCGAAAGUGACGGUACCUGCAGAAGAAGCCCCGGCUAACUACGUG
This 466-nucleotide ribosomal RNA is filed under the name uncultured bacterium. RNAcentral's name for it is "partial 16S ribosomal RNA". It matches the Rfam family "Bacterial small subunit ribosomal RNA", at positions 29 to 507 of the family's 1533-position model. The record is from RNAcentral.